GGGAGUGAGGGGAAUCCGGUUGUGAUAUUCAUCAUUCCAUUAAUUGCUAGUGUUGAUUCAGCUGAUCAAGUUGGCUAGUUAGGUGCCCCCUUCUUCCCUCACCACACCAUGUUCACCUCCUGAAGCUUCAUGCUUGGCGGAAGAGGACAACCAUUCCAGAUAGAUGGAGUGUACCAUUCUUUGGUCAACAGUAGAGAUGGGCAUGAGUUCAUCCUUUAAAUAAACAGGUGUUU
RNAcentral lists this small nuclear RNA (233 nucleotides) under Pogona vitticeps (central bearded dragon). RNAcentral's name for it is "7SK RNA (ENSPVIG00000008027.1)". The stretch from base 1 to 199 matches the Rfam family "7SK RNA". Rfam says of the family: 7SK was discovered as an abundant small nuclear RNA in the mid-70s but a possible function has only recently been suggested. Two independent studies have found that 7SK RNA binds the CDK9/cyclin T complex (known as elongation factor P-TEFb). Lineage: Eukaryota; Metazoa; Chordata; Lepidosauria; Squamata; Agamidae. The record is from RNAcentral.